Molecule: long non-coding RNA, 3993 nt
Organism: Arachis ipaensis
Lineage: Eukaryota; Viridiplantae; Streptophyta; Magnoliopsida; Fabales; Fabaceae
Source: RefSeq, a predicted model, not a curated record
AUAAUAUACAUAAUCCAAUGCAAGCUGGUAUACGUUAACAAAUUAAAUUCUAGCUACUUAGCUUCAUCACCACCAUCAGGUAAUCAAAGAGCUAGCAUUGGAUUCCCCUCCAUAUAUAUAUAUAAUUGAAGGCACACAUAGUUGAUUAGCCAAUCCAAGAAACAAAAACACUAACAAGGUCGUCGUGGAUCUUGAAAAAGAUUUACGAAGAUGAGUAUGAGCUCUGCGUAUUCCGAAAGAUUGAAGUACUUAUUGAAAAGAAGAAUAAUGCAAAACCAUGAGUAUGGUACUGCUGCCAAGGAUACAGAAAUUUCUUCCACUCCUGCUCCCCAACAUGGUAAUAGUAUUCCUCCCGACAACUCAAGUUCGACUGGUACAACAAGUACAUCGGCUGAUAACAAUGCACCCAAAACCUAGCUCUUAAUCAGGCGGGAGAAUAGUCCAAAUAUUUAUAUACGUUGAGGUGCUACGUCAUUUGAUAUGAUGGAUCUAUCGGCAUUUCUCCUACGUCGCUUGGUGUCAUCAUCCAUCUACGUCGUUGUCUGUGGCGGCAUCAGCGUCCGUCGCUUGGUGGUCGUCCGUCCGUCGCUAAUUCCCUCGCUCUGUGCUGUUCUGUUCAUUCAUCACUUCCCUCGCCACCCGUCGCCGUGCCUUGCCUCGCCUUGCUGCCUGAACUGGUUAUGCAAAAACAGGCGAUGAGUUAAAGAUCGAAGGCAAGUUUGACUGAUUUGGUGAGUUGCGUGCAACAAUUGAAACCACAAAUUCGUGCAUGUUACUCGGAGAAAAUCGAGCUCACGGUAGAUGAAUUUGGUGAAGGUGAUAUUCAUAGACUGUUGUUUUGUAAUUGAGCUUUUCCUUAGACAAUAUGAGAGGACGACAGAGGAUGAUCUUAUCUUCUCAAAACGAUGGCUUUAGAAUCGGGUAAAAAAUGAUUUGAUAUUACUUGAGAAACAGGUUCCUUUGUUUGUUCUUAAGAAAAUAUACAAUCUAACUUUUGCUUCUCGCUUAGAUAUUGGUCUAUUAUUCCCUUCAUUUAUGAGGGUUGCUGUUAGUUAUUUUUCAUAUCACAACAAACAAGGAGUGUUAGUAUCGGCUAGUAGCAGUAUAGCACACUUCACUGAUCUGAUUAGAUAUUUCAUCUUACCACCAUCUCAUAAAAGACCUUCAAAGAACCGUGGACCCUUAGUCCUUGGUCAUAAUGUAUCUGAGUUGUUGAAGCAGGACUGAAGUUCCAUGUAAAUAAAUCAAGUCAUGGCUGCAUACUUGACUUAGAAGUUGAGCAUGGUAUCCUUAAAAUCCCACACAUUGUAGUGGAUGAUUUCACUGAAGUUUUGUUGAGGAACAUUGUGGCUUUGGAGCAGUGUCACUAUCUUCGGCAACACUAACAUUUUUUUUUUUACGUUUAUGGGUGAAAGCCAAGGAUAUACAAGUAAUUUUAUAAUUCACAGUCGUUUUUUUUACGUUUAACGUUAACAAGGACUAAAUUGAAAAAAAAAAAUAAUGUCUAGGGACCUAAUUAUAAAAAAAAGUAUAGGGACCUAAUUAAAAAUUCGGUGAAAUUAUAGAGACCUGCAAAGUAAUUAAACCAUAUAUAGGAUUUUUUACUUAAAUAAAUGAAACACAAAUCAAUUUUACUUGAUUCCCCUAAAAAUAAAUUUUCAAACGUGUUUUUCCUCUUCCAUAUAUUAUGUAAAUCGUCCUAGGGUGAUAAGGAUUGUAGAAUAUGUUAAACAUGGCACCUUAGGACGAUUUAUGCCUAUAUUGCAUAGGAGAAAAAUCCAUAAAUUGUGCCAGAGUAGGAGGGGUUACAGUUACACAUAAAUCGUUCCUCCCUGCCAUGAUUCAUGUGAAGUUGGGCUAAAUCACAAAGGCAUGCCACGAUUCAUGUUCGAAGAUUUAACCCUCAAGACCCAGGGACGAUUAAUGCUUGAAGAGUAACCCUAAUGUGCCUGCAACGAGUUAUUUCUUGAGGCAUUCCCUCAACACACAGCGGCGAGUUACGUUAGUGAGGGAGGAGCCACCACAUUCGGCCAGAUUUGGGAGAGAAGGGUUGGGAGGAAGGCAGGCCAAACCGGUGGAAGAGGUGGCAGUGAGCGGAGGCUUCGGGCAUUCACUGGCGACGGUGCAGCAGCGGCAAGGCCAGAUCCACCAUUGUCCGGCGUAUUAAAGCACAGAGCGGUGGGUUGUGCGGCGGAGUGGGAGGUGUCCGUCUUGGGAGAAGAAUGGCGGCUAACCACAGAGAUAUGUACUGCCUUAAUGGUAUUUCACAUGUUGCCGGAUUUAUCAACGAUGAGCCAACUCGAUGCGUUCGGAGCAUUCGUAGGCAACAAAAGAUGAUCAUGCAUGAUCGCAUACUGUUGUACUUAGAUCGUUCUAAUUUACUGCAUGUUGCGAGGUUGAAUGAUUAUUGGUUCAAGCUUGAUGAGUCGUUGAUCAGUGCAUUCGUAGAGCGAUGGCAUCCUGAGACGCACACAUUUCAUAUGCCGUUCGGAGAGUGCAUGAUAGCACUAUAGGAUGUGGCAUAUCAGUUUGGCCUCCCUAUUGACGGACAUGCGGUGAGCGGGUGUCUCAGUGACUUCGAGCUGUUGAUGGAGGGGGGAGCUUGCCUGGGUGUGGUUUUGAAACUUAUUCGGAGAACUUCCACCAGAUGAUUGUAUCGAUGACUACACGGUUUCUUUUAGCUGGUUCCAAAACAAGUUCAGAUUCUUGCUUGCCAAUGCAUUGGAGGCAACGGUACAGAUCUAUGCACGGGGUUACAUUAUGAUGUUGUUGUCCACGGCACUUUUCGCAGACAAGUCUGGUGCUAGGGUUCACUUACGGUGGAUUCCGUAUGUUGCGGACCUCGAUGGGCUCGGAAAGUAUAGCUGGGGUUCGGCCACCUUGUCCUGGUUGUAUAGGUGUUUGUGCAGGGUUGCUAACCGAAAUGUAAAGAACCUAGCUGGGCCAUUAGCACUGCUUCAAUCUUGGAUUUUUUGACGUUUUCCGACGUUCAGGCCUAGAGGGUUUGAUGCCAUUCUAUGACCACUUGCCGCGAGGUCGGGUAGGUUUCUGCCGUCGUCAGACCAUGAAGAUCCCCGGGUCAUUGCAACCCGACACAGAUUAGACAGGAUGAGUGGGGAUGAUUUCAUUUAGAUGCCAUACAACAGUCUUGAGGUUAUCCAAGUAGUCCAUCCUGAUAUCCUCAGGCUUGACCACUGAUAUGCCACUAUUUUAUGAUAUAAUUUGGAUUGAAUUGAGUGGGUUUUGUCAACUAUCCUCACACUAAUUCAUGUAAAUUGCAUGUUUUUAAGUUUCCUUCCUAAUUUUGUGAUAUGAUUGAAAACUUGCUUCCUAGGCCUUAAAAUUGUUAAUUUUUAAUUCUCUUUUAUUACCAUUCGAUGUCGUGAUGUGUUUGUUAAGUGUUUUCAGGUUUACAGGGCAUGAAUGGCUUAAAGGGUGAAGAUGAAGCAUGUUAAAGUGGAAGGAACACAAGAAACUAAAGAGUUGUGGAAGCGAGGAGCAACGCGCAUGCAUGGCCGAUGCGUGCACGUGAUCAAGAGCUUCGUUCAGCAACGCGUAUGUGUGAUUGACGUGUACACAUGACCAGUGUAGAAGUUCAGCGACGCGUCCGCAUGACAGAGCGUCACGUGCUACACUUAACAGAACUCGCUGGGGGCAAUUUCUGGGCUGAUUUGGACUCAGAUCCAAGCUCAAAAACACAGACUAGAGGCAGGGAUGGAGCUGAGACUGGGGGACUUCAAUUUCACUUUAGUUUUUGAUUAGUUUUUGAAGUUUAGAGAGAAAAACACCUACUUUUCUCUAGAGUUUUUUAUGUUCUUAGUUUUGCUUUGAAUUGGAUCUGGAGAGAGCUGUUACUACCUUCCAUUAGAGUCAUUGUUCUCAUAGUUUUCUUCUCUAUUAUCCCUAUUACUCUUAUACACUUGAUUGCUUUGAAUUCAUAUUUGGAUUUUGUCAUUUUUUAAUUUUAUUAAUGCACUGAAUUAUUUUUAUGUU